AAACAUUGAUAGUUAACUACACCCGCUAUCCGCCCGGGGACUACGAGCAUUAGCUUGAAACCCAAAGGACUUGGCGGUGCUUUAGAUCCACCUAGAGGAGCCUGUUCUAGAACCGAUUACCCCCGUUCAACCUCACCUUUCCUUGUUUCCCCCGCCUAUAUACCACCGUCGUCAGCUUACCCUGUGAAGGACUCAUAGUAAGCAAGAUUGGCACAGCCCAAAACGUCAGGUCGAGGUGUAGCGUAUGGAAAGGGAAGAAAUGGGCUACAUUCCCUAAUAUAGUGUAAUACGAACGAUACACUGAAAUACGUAUCUGAAGGAGGAUUUAGCAGUAAGCAGAAAAUAGAGCGUCCC
This 354-nucleotide ribosomal RNA is filed under the name Lutjanus analis (mutton snapper). Its description in RNAcentral is "partial 12S ribosomal RNA". It matches the Rfam family "Bacterial small subunit ribosomal RNA", at positions 804 to 1360 of the family's 1533-position model. Lineage: Eukaryota; Metazoa; Chordata; Actinopteri; Lutjaniformes; Lutjanidae. The record is from RNAcentral.